GAUGAACGCUGGCGGCGUGCCUAAUACAUGCAAGUCGAGCGAACAGAUGAGGAGCUUGCUCCUCUGACGUUAGCGGCGGACGGGUGAGUAACACGUGGAUAACCUACCUAUAAGACUGGGAUAACUUCGGGAAACCGGAGCUAAUACCGGAUAAUAUAUUGAACCGCAUGGUUCAAUAGUGAAAGACGGUUUUGCUGUCACUUAUAGAUGGAUCCGCGCCGCAUUAGCUAGUUGGUAAGGUAACGGCUUACCAAGGCAACGAUGCGUAGCCGACCUGAGAGGGUGAUCGGCCAAACUGGAACUGAGACACGGGCCAGACUCCUACGGGAGGCAGCAGUAGGGAAUCUUCCGCAAUGGGCGAAAGCCUGACGGGGCAACGGCGCGGGGGUGAUGAAGGUCUUCGGAUCGUAAAACUCUGUUAUUAGGGAAGAACAAAUGGGUAAGUAACUAUGCACGUCUUGACGGUACCUAAUCAGAAAGCCACGGCUAACUACGUG
Molecule: ribosomal RNA, 497 nt
Filed under: uncultured bacterium
Lineage: Bacteria
Description: partial 16S ribosomal RNA
Rfam family: Bacterial small subunit ribosomal RNA
Source: RNAcentral